GUACAGAUUCCUACUGAAGUUCACUUUGAAGUGACACCUCACUGGCUGUACCAGAGACCUUUGCAUCUGGCUACUGAUGGUUUUAAAACUCAGGAUGUUGCCAUAAUGAUCAGAUUUUUACUUGCAAAUUGUUAUUCUCUCGUUUCUACUUGAGAAUCUGAAGAAGUGAAAUGUAUCCUAAGCUUUUCAUACAAGAUUUCUCUCUUCCAAAGUAAAACUAAAAUUCUUCCAAGGUAUUCAAUAAGCAAACUAAAAUGAGAUCUGAAGCAAACAUCAAUUUUAGAGGGAACAGUUACUUUUUUUUUUUUGUGCAGAGUCAGCACCAAAUACAAACACGGGAACUUCAUCUACAUAGGGGCAGCAGCAAAUGGAGAUAACAAAAAUAAUGUAAAAGGCGAUUUUGUUUUCACAAAGUAACUUAAAUCAAUGAGAACAAUCUUCUUCUAGUUCUCUAUUGCAAUUAAAAAUAAUUUGAAUACCAGCAGGACUCCCAUGGAGUCACAGCUACCUGUUUUUAAAGAGCAUCCUGAGUUUUGACAAUGGCAUUUCCAGUCCUGAUUUCCGCAGGAGAAAUUUGAAAGUAUAGGAUACAUUUGCAUAAUGCUGAGCUUGUCCUUUGUGAUGGUGCAUCUGUGGGAGUACUGAUCCACAAUAUGGCAUGUGGGUGGGAUCCUCUGCUUUUGUAACAUAGGCACACAGGGCCAUGACUUCUGCUUUGAAAAGCAAAUAAUUUUAUGGUUUGAUUUCAGUAAUGCUACCGCAGCCGACACAAGCCUUACCAUCUGUGUUUCAGGCAGUUUGCUUUCACAGGUCACGCAAUGUUUAAGGUGAAGAGGAUUUCCUGUGCCACAUGCCUGACAAAUCACUUUGCCCUUUUAAAUAAAGAAAGAAUACAUUUCAUACAGUAUUUGAAAACAGUGAACAACAAUCAUAGCAAGAGGACUUUAUCUUAGAAACUGCUGUGCUUAUUCAGCUCUGCAAUUAGAAGAGAGACGAAGUCUGUGCUGUGGGCUUCAGAUUUUUGUUAAGCUGUAUUGCCUCAUUGUCACACAUCUGCAUAUCUUUGUGCCAGUUUUAUUUUAUUCAAUCUACAGUACAAUUCACUCAAGAUCCAGUAUCAAUACCUGCAGGCCUUUAAAGUCAUUAGUGUCAGCUUGUUCAGUCACUGCACUCAUGCACAACAGAGGCAGCCAUAUUUGCAAGGAAAAAACAAAAACCUUGUUUUGUCGAUUAUGUGUUCCUGUGCUUGUCAGCCCUGCCUCAGGGGCUGCUUCACAGGGCUGCUAGGAACUUUUAUUCCACUUUAUUCUUAGCUUAAAGCCCUCCUUAUCUGGUCAGCCUGAUAAAGAUAUUUUGCUAGCCAAGAUACCCUUGCCCUGUUUAAUGAGGUGGAUCCCAUUUCUUUAAGGAAAUGUUGAUCCUCAAGCAAGGUCCUGUAAUCAUAGAAACUAAAACCCUUUUGUCAACAGCUCCACAACCAAUUGCUGAUGUGUAAUAUCAGUCCCCACUUCACAACCUAUUCCCUCAGCAGCACGACUGAGGAAGGUUCCCAUGGUCCACAUGCCCGCACAUGGGGAGUAUUUUGUAGGGCCAACUUUGUCCAGUUAAAGCUAUCAGUACUUUCAGAUCACUGACCAAGACCGCCCUGAUCCUUCCAGCUGACCUCUACUGAGCACUCACAAUCACAUGAGGUAAGCAGAGUAAUCAGAAUAUACUUAAUACACUUUAUUGAUAAGAUGAUCCCUACUAAAUACAGUUCCAUGCAUUCCUGUCAUUGGGGCUUCUACCUCAGGUGCUCUUCAGCGUGCUUUCCUGAGCUUAUGUGUUUUUGCCUUUAAUAAUUAUUCCUAUCCAAGCUUUUUUAACCCUACUAACUCUUAAUGCUGCUUUAAGGUAUUUCACGUUAGAUUCAAAAUAUUCAUAGAGUUGUCACCUGUUAAAGAAAUGCAUGCCAGGAGUUAAAUUACUGAGUUGUUAUAUUUAUUCUCAGUUACCUUAAAGCAGGUGUUGGUCUGGGGCUGCAGUUGUGGAUCUAUUGGUGACUCACACACAAUGCAGGUGGGCGUAUUCAUUGGCACGAGAUGUUUGCAUUCAAGACAUGGUGCCAUCUGAAAGAAAAAAUGUAUCACAUCUUAUUAAGGAGAUCAUUAAGGUUAUCAUGAGAUCCUUAAUGAUACUGUGACAGUUUGCCACGAUAUUGUCAUUAAUGUCACAAUAUUGUAUUUUCUAUAUCUUGCUCAUUAGAGUUUCUAUCAGCAGCAAAGUCAGUGGACUGACAGCAGAAAACAAAAGUUGACACUGAUCAAAGAGAAUGCUUUACUGAUACGUGUGCCAGAAAGGUGCUAAGUUACUUCACAGUCAAUUUAAAUGCUAUCAUAAUGUGUGUAGGCAGCUCAAGUCGUUGUAACUAUGAACUACAGAGGUGCUCAAUAUUUUCAGUCAUCUCUUGAAACUACAGCAUUGUCUCAGACAAGACAUCUUUCUGAGGAUACAGGAGGAAAAAAACAACACCAUUGACUCAUUAGAUAGGGUUAUUAUCUCCUGGGAAGAGCUUAUGGAAGACAGUUACAGACAUAACUGCAAAAACUUAGUGUUCUGACAUACACACCACUGUUCAAAUCUUCAGGCAUAUUAGAUGGAUCUUCUACAGCUGUGGCAUAGACACUAGUUACUAGCUAACUAACCUCACUAGUUAGCACUGAAAUAAGAUGCAUAUGCAGCUCCUGAAGAUGCAGUUGUUGUUGCAGGAUGAGGAGGAAUCUGAAUUUGGUGAUGUUUCCUGGCACAAGUGAAUAAAAUACAAUUUACUUUUAUAAAGUUGUCCUUAUUAAAAUAUGUGGCACCUGCAGCAAUCCAGUUAAUUUUGCCCUCCAUUGAAUAACUACUUUGGUAGUUAUUCCCUGCUGAAAUUUCCAAACAAAAUAAGAAAAAGAACUUCUCCAAUGAAAGAGUGACUAAACAAUGAACAUGUAAUUUGCUGAGGAAGUUCCUCCACAGAGGAUUCAUUGUGUUACGAUGUUUUGCUGACCUGUGCUCCUUCAGGGGAUGGGAAGCGGCGCACUGGCAUGGGUGGGAUAGGAGAGCCACAUUCCUGGCAGAAGUGAGCCGAGGGGUCAGACAGGCGAGGUGCAGAGCAGUAUGCACAUCUGAAAACAACAGCAAGCUGGCUGAUCUUGUUUUGGUGACGUACUGGUGCGUAACAGUGACAAAUCUGGAACCAUUUGUGUCUGGACUUAGGCCACUGAUUUGUAAAUUGUGGCUCCUAGUCUAUGGUGGCUCACCAGGCCGUUCCCCAGUGUCUUUUGCAGGAGGCUGAACAAUGAAGAGCUUUGCAAGGUGGAAGCUCUUUCAUGAUUUUUACUCACCAUAUAAGGUCUACUGAUACCUGAGCUGUGUCACCUACUGACAAAGAUGUCAAUGGAAGUCAUUCACCUGAGGAAAUCUCUCUCUCUCUGGAUCCUUGCCACCUGUGUGCUUGCUAGGCUCUUCCGGCUGGGCACUGCAGAACUGGCAAACUGAAAUAAAGGCCAUUCUGUGAUCCUAUGAUAAAGAUCGCAAAGACCACAAUCAUCUGCAAACAACGGCAUGGAGGCUAAAAGGUUCAAAUGAUCGCGUAACAAAAGGUUCUACGGAGGCAAAGCUGCAGUUCGUACCUGACUUUAUUUCUAGUCGAGUACUGGUGUCUAUCCGGUGCUUGGCCCGCCCUGGAAGAGGGCUCCGAAGGGGUAUGACCUGCGGCACCGACACAGAGCCCGCCGUCAUCCUUCUCAGCGGUGAUCUCUAAACCGGAACGACAACAGAAAAGCAGACGAUGAUUUUUCUUAACAACAGUGCGAUCUGAGCCUACGCGUCCCGCUGCUCGGCAACCGGCACCGCCGCGCGCAAGUGACGUCACCUCAACG
Long non-coding RNA from Centrocercus urophasianus (Greater sage-grouse), 3902 nucleotides. RefSeq lists it as uncharacterized. The record is from RefSeq and is a predicted model, not a curated record. Lineage: Eukaryota; Metazoa; Chordata; Aves; Galliformes; Phasianidae. The transcript has 3 exons.